Paramuricea clavata is the source of this 1405-nucleotide non-coding RNA. Lineage: Eukaryota; Metazoa; Cnidaria; Anthozoa; Malacalcyonacea; Plexauridae. The record is from the annotation of a GenBank genome assembly.
CUCUGCGGUAACAGGCGGUGACUUGUUUGGACAAAACCAAUAACUUCAUCUCGCAUGCUUGACAUUUUCUCUGAAGAAUUUGACACUCUCUCGAAAAGGCAUCCCAAUCACCUUUAUUAAUUAAUUUCCUUAAUUUUUCACCUUUAACAGUGAAAGUCUUCCGAGCCUCACGUGAGCUCCAUGUAAUACGUUGAACUGAAGACGGAAUUUCUUCCCCACUACGCAACCAACCUGUAUGUAAUACUCUUCUUUUCCAAGUGGCGAACGACAUCUUUUUUACUUUUCCCUCCACCAUUUCAUAACAUUCUGGUUCCUCGGUGAACACACCACCCAGACAAGGAGCGAUGUAGAUCACGACCACAAAGGUUGACGGGAUAGGUUUGGAGUUUUCAUCUACCACUGGCUGGAAGAAUAUCUCCCAGUGUACCCCUCGUUUUGGUUGACCAACCUGCUCAGGCCAGAUCAUCUUGUUGAUGGCUUUCUCAACUUUCUUUGUUAUUUCACCAAUAUCCUCCUCAUUGGAAAUCAAUUCUCCUUCGACAAUUCCAGCAUCUCUGAUACCAUAGUAAAUAUGACCUCCGUUAUAGUUGGGAAAAGCGGAAACAUAGCAACUGAAUUUAUUACCUUUACCAGUCAUACGAUCUGCUAGUCUGGUGCGUUUUGAUGGACCUGCUUUUAUAUUCUUGAACUGAACAGUUUUUGUCUCAUGUAAGCCAGAAUUUGUAUCUUUAACAAAUUUUUUACAAUGAGAACCAUACUGGACUGGUUCCUGAACGACUUUUCUGUCGAUAAUAUCGUGCUUGACUUUCUCUAGUGGUUCCCAAGGAAAUACCUGUACAACUUGUGAUUGACUCGGUAAAUAAAGGUUAUAAUUAGUUGUAAUUAAAGAAUUAGAUUUUUCAACUAAAAUGACUAUGCUUUCUUUAUCUUCUUUGAAAUUUAUAUUCGAGACGGUCUGAUUCAAUCCAAUGAUAGAAAUCAUAGAUUGUUCCAAUAUUCGAACCACCAAGGGCAUUUGAGAAGAUUUGCAUUUCUCGCAGUCGCACUCGUUAUGUAACACAACAUUUCCACCAUCGCUGUUUAACAUGGCACAGAUAGCAAUUAUUAUUUCAGUUAAUUUUUGUUCUUUGUACUUUUUAUUAGCCGGAGUGCUUUCAAAUCUACAUAAGGACAUGACGUGUACAGUCUCAGUAGUCUUAUCAACACGACCGUCCAUCGUUGUUUGUAAAGUAUAACGUCGCUGUUUCUGCCGAAUCACAAAAAGUAAAAUCCCUAUAGAAAAGAUAGAGUAGCAGACAAAUAAGAGCCUAUCGAAGAUACUAGCUGGGUUUUUUUUUAGUUUUACGAAAUACGUGGCCGAACCGUCAAAACAAAACACAUUUUCAUUAAAAAGUUUUGACUUCUG